This is a long non-coding RNA of Eriocheir sinensis (Chinese mitten crab), 909 nucleotides long. RefSeq lists it as uncharacterized. The record is from RefSeq and is a predicted model, not a curated record. The transcript is spliced from 2 exons. NCBI's taxonomy places the organism in Eukaryota, Metazoa, Arthropoda, Malacostraca, Decapoda, Varunidae.
AAUCGUGUUUUUUUUUUUUUUUUUUUGGUGGGGAGCAUAUUUAAACUACUCCAACCGAACUUUACGACCCCCCUCCUAACCAAGGGGGGCUGUGCCCCCCUGGACCCCCCCCCCAUGUAGGGAAUUUUCCUUAAUUUAGGCAUUUUUCUAGGGAAAUUUUGGAAGCAGGGGGGGCCCAGGGGGGGGUCGUAAAGUUCGGUUGGAGUAGUUUAAAUUUUGGAAGCCCAUUUUUCAGUGAUUUUGGCUUCCCCCCCAAACCCCGGUUCCCCACAGUUCCCCAGGCUUGUCUUGGGGGGUAGGGGGUUCUGGAGUGGCGAAGGGGGAGACGGACUUCUUAUAAAGUAUUACCAGAAAAGCAAAGUCAAAGGAAGAAAAGAGCAGAAAAUCACAUCAGUUCAGGGUGAAGCAUAUAAGUGUGCACUGUGAAAUAACUGUGUGCUGUGAAGUAUAGAUGUCUUGAGAAGGAGGACCUAAGAAGCAAUAAAAAGCAGAACAUGUCAAAAGAAGAAGUGUGACAUUUGGGAAAUCAGGUUGAUAUUUGAAGCUUUGGCCACUAUCUCAUCUCACUGACCUGAAGCUUAAAUACUAUCUGCAGCAGUUCAUAACGAAAGGAAACCCCCCAAUGAUACUUGUAAAAUGUACUGGAACGGCUGAAAAUGGAAAAUUAGUCCCCUAAAAACCCCCAAAAGACCCUUCAUUAAUUUCCCAAGGUAAUUAAUUUUGCCAAAUGGAAAACUAGCCCCCUAAAAAAACUAAAAGACCCUUCAUUAAUUUCCCAAGGUAAUUAAUUUCGCCCUAACAUGGAUGACUGAUGUAAUAUUCUGGGACGAGUGAAAAUGAAUGACUAGUCCCCUGAAAACCCCCAAAAGACCCUUCAUUAAUUUCCCAAGGUAAUUAAUUUCGCCCUAA